This 497-nucleotide ribosomal RNA is filed under the name uncultured bacterium. RNAcentral describes it as "partial 16S ribosomal RNA". It matches the Rfam family "Bacterial small subunit ribosomal RNA", at positions 28 to 523 of the family's 1533-position model. The record is from RNAcentral.
GAUGAACGCUGGCGGCGUGCUUAACACAUGCAAGUCGAACGAAGCACCUUAUUCUGAUUUCUUCGGAAUGAAAAAUUUGGUGACUGAGUGGCGGACGGGUGAGUAACGCGUGGGUAACCUGCCUCAUACAGGGGGAUAACAGUUAGAAAUGACUGCUAAUACCGCAUAAGACCACAGCACCGCAUGGUGCAGGGGUAAAAACUACGGUGGUAUGAGAUGGACCAGCGUCUGACUAGGUAGUUGGUGGGGUAACGGCCUACUAAGCCGACGAUCAGUAGCCGACCUGAGAGGGUGACCGGCCACAUUGGGACUGAGACACGGCCCAAACUCCUACGGGAGGCAGCAGUGGUGAAUAUUGCACAAUGGGGGAAACCCUGAUGCAGCGACGCCGCGUGAGCGAUGAAGUAUUUCGGUAUGUAAAGCUCUAUCAGCAGGGAAGAAAAUGACGGUACCUGACUAAGAAGCACCGGCUAAAUACGUGCCAGCCGCCGCCGUAA